GAUCCUCAAAGUACAGUGGUCUAACUAUUGAUCAUGGGGCAAAAUUUGGGACCAGCAAAGAGAUACAGGUCAGGCGUGGUGGUUCAAGCCUGUAAUGCCAGUGCUUUGGAAGGCCAAGGUGGGCAGAUCGCUUGACCUCAGGAGUUCCAGACCAGCCUGGCCAACAUGGUGAAAUCCCAUCUCUACUGAAAAUACAAAAAUUAGCUGGGCAUGGUGGUGAGUGCCUGUAAUUCCAGCUACUCUGGAGGCUGAGGCAGGAGAAUCACUUGAACCUGGAAGGUGGAGGUUACAGUGAGCCGAGACUGUGCUACUGCACUCCAGCCUGGGCAUCAGAGCCAGACUCUGUCAAAACACACACACACACACACACACACACACACACACACGCACACACAGAAACACAGAUACAAUGAUUCUUGAAAAUAUUGGACAGUAUAUCUAUUUUUUUGUUAAAUGGAUUGCAGUGGUGUUGUGAGGAAAACAUUUUUGGGGAGUAACAGCUAAGACUGUACUAUCAAUAUCUGAUAAAUCUCUGUGUUAUUUUUCAUUAAUAUUUUACAUGGCAUGCUGAAAAAUACCCAUCCAAUGAAAUCUCCUUACAGAUUUCUGCUCAGUUGUCUCUGGGGUCCUUUAAAUUGUCCCAGAAAUCCAAAAAAUCACGGCUACUUCAAUGGAAAACACAAGUCCUAGUUCUGGUGACAAAAUAUCUUCCUGACUUAAAAAUUAGAGACGGGGUUUCACCGUGUUAGACAGCAUGGUCUCGAUCUCCUGACCUCGUGAUCCGCCCGCCUCGACCUCCGAAAGUGCUGGGAUUACAGGCGUGAGCCACCGCGCCCGGCCUCCACUUUUCAUCUUCCAGACCCGCAAAACCUAUUGUCCUUUGCAUUUCCUCUAUUUAAAUUUUAUAGAAAACAUAAUCUUCUUGAUACCAUCAUUUUGGAGAUGAGAAAUGGCAACUACUUCAAAAUGAAUCUUCAACAGCAGUUGGAGGAGAUUUAAAGACAAUGCAUGCAUGAAGAUGGGCGUGAGAUGCCAGUAACUCCAUGAAUUAGAGUUUCACAUAAGCCAAACCCUCACAGAAUGUCUGCAAAAAAACCCAAGGAAGACGGGGAUAGUUUGACCUCAGCUGUCCACUGCUAGUGGAGAGUAUUUAAGAUAAUCAUUUUAGUAACUUUAGGAUACAAUUAUUUUUAGGAUCUUCCUGUGCUAUUGGCAGUGGGCUGUUUCUCAGUUUGCUGUUGAUUUUUGGUCAAUAGCUGUUACAUGUUACAUGAUCAGAUGUUAUAAUCAAUUAGUUUUAUAUUUUUUCUUUUAAUUGUUUUCCAUAUUGAAACCCACGUGUCAUAAUCUAAUAAUGCUGGAGCUGCAGAGUGUCUCUGAGUUUGAUUUUUGCAAAGACAUUGAUGCAUUUCAAGAAACUAAAGAUAAUAAUGGCAUGGAUAAUAAUUAUACAUUACAUUAAAAAGAAUUAACAGGCGUGGGGUGGUGACUCACGCUUGUAAUCCCAGUACUUUGGGAGGCUGAGGCAGGUGGACCACCUGAGGUCAGAAGUUUAAGACUAGCCUGGCCAACAUGGUGAAAACCUGUCUCUACUAAAUUACAAAAAUAAGCCGGGCAUAUUGGCUCAUGCCUGUAGUCCCAGCUACUUGGGAGGCUGAGAAACAAGAAUCAUGUGAACCUGGGAGGCAGAGGCUGCAGUGAGCCGAGAUCACACCACUGCACUCCAGCCUGGGUGACAGAGAGAGACUCUGUCUCAAAAUAAAUAAAUAAAUAAAUAAAUAAAUAAAUAAAUAAAAAUAAAAGGAAUUAACAAAGAAUUUCUUGAUGGUAAAAUCACCCGUGUGUUUAUAUCAGUGGCCUUUAUGGCUCUGUGUGUCUGUAUGGUGUGGAGAGUGUAUCCUGAGCUAUGUUCCUCUUAUUUUACCUAUAAGCACAUGAUCUGCUUUAUUAUUAUAUUUAAAUAUCCUUAUUGAAUUAUAGUAUGAUGUGCAUUCACAUACAUUUUAUGUAUUUCAAUAAAGACAAAGCGGAGGUUCAACUUAUCCCUUUGUAUGUAACUAACUGUCAUUGUCUGUUUGCCUCAUGGAUCUUAAAAGCCUUCAAGGUGAAGACCAAGCUAAAAUUAUUGAUGUAUCCCCAAUACUCAUAAUAACAUCCUGUCCAAAGUGAUAGCUUAAUAACAGUUUGAAGAGUAAAUUAAUAACUUCAAGAUUAUUUUAUGUAUUUGAAGCUUAGGCAAAGGAGAGUCAAUGAUGCAUUAUCAGAAGACCAUAAAGGAUAUCAAUCUUGCAGACCUGGGAAACCAAGAUAAAUAAAAUGUAUGCUUUUCUAUCAUUCAUAGGGGUGCCCUGUGUGGGAUGUUUUGGCCGUUUUUAAACCUGACAAAAUCUGGCAAAGUUUGCCUUCUCUUGAGGUAUUCCUGGCCCUCCACCCUCCUGGCUUCCUGUAGAUUGCACCCACCCUUGUCCCAGAAGAAUGAAUUACUCACUUCCAGAGAAAAGAUAAUCAAAGUGUGGUAUAGAAUGACGCUGGAUGAGAAUGUUUGUUUCUCCAUAAUUCUGUAACGUCUUCGAGAGUUUGGAAUUUUAAUACCCCACCCUAGUUCACUUCCUAGCACAUAGUUGGUAUUCAAAUAAUUUCUUAAAGCAUAGUGUUCAAUAAAUCUUUAGAUAAAAAAAUUGUGAAAAGUAAAAAGUAUAUUUUAAUAGGAGUAAAACUAGACAUUAUGAUAGAAUCUGAAUAAAAAGGGAAGCAUGACCUUUAGCCUGGGGAAGAAUAUCCUAUAAGAAUUCCAUAGAAUAUCUCUUAGUAAAUGUAGUAAAAACACCCAUUGAUCAAAAGAAAUUGGAUCUAUGGCUCAUAAUAACAUCUCAUUGAUUGAAAAGCACUUUGUAAUAGCUUUCUUCCAUGUGAUAUCUGUCAGGCAUUAACCUUUCAGCCUCCUGAUCAUGUGAAAGGAAUUCUUUGCUUAUGCCACUGCUCAUAUGACCCCAUCCAUGACAUUUCAUAAAUUGCAUCUAUUGAACAGAGAUUUUGGGUUUUCUGGAACUGAAAAAUCCAUUGCCAAAGCAAGGCAUUUCUCUAUGGAUUGUAUGAUAGAAUUUAGCCAUAUGCUCUAGAGACCUGGAGCUAUUUUAGCAAACUUGACUACCUCUGAAAAAUGACUACUUACAAAGAGAUAAGUAAGUUUCAAAUUUUAGAACAUGUAGGGUUCACAUAGAAAUACAUUUAGAAGCAAUCAUAUAUUUAUUUACUCUUUUAAGGACACAUUUAAAAACAUAAAGUGUUCCUCUUAUUUAAAGCAAUGAGUUAAAAUUAUACCAAAUUCUGUACAUAAAAAAGUGAAUAUGCUAAUAAAAUAGUCCACCAAGUUUUAUUAUUAACACUAGGAAAUCAAUCUGCAUGUCCUAACAAAUAAAUAACAAAAUAGAUGAGCAUUUUAACAAAAUAUAAUCUCUUGUAAUUCCAGCUUCAAGCUUGUGUUGCUUUCUUAAGCAGAAAU
RNAcentral lists this long non-coding RNA (3502 nucleotides) under Homo sapiens (human). RNAcentral describes it as "HSALNT0157509". The record is from RNAcentral. Lineage: Eukaryota; Metazoa; Chordata; Mammalia; Primates; Hominidae.